UGCCUUUGUAGCUUAAUGGUUAAAGCAAUCGCUUGAAGCGCGGUCUAUCUGAGUUCAAGUCUCAUCGAAGGCAU
Molecule: transfer RNA, 74 nt
Filed under: Mycobacteroides abscessus subsp. abscessus
Lineage: Bacteria; Bacillati; Actinomycetota; Actinomycetes; Mycobacteriales; Mycobacteriaceae
Description: tRNA-Phe(gaa)
Rfam family: tRNA
About the family: Transfer RNA (tRNA) molecules are approximately 80 nucleotides in length.
Source: RNAcentral